Varroa destructor (honeybee mite) is the source of this 670-nucleotide long non-coding RNA. RefSeq lists it as uncharacterized. The record is from RefSeq and is a predicted model, not a curated record. Lineage: Eukaryota; Metazoa; Arthropoda; Arachnida; Mesostigmata; Varroidae.
UUUCCUCUCGCCAAUCAAUCGUUUAGGCAUGACCUAGCAAUUAUUGAUGCCCCUGUGGAUUAUCUAGCUUUUUAAGAGGGAUCAAGCAUUUCCCAUUUUCUUUAAUAUCCAUCUGAGAGGCGCCAUAAAUUGCUGAAACUUGUCCUGCAUAGACAAGUGAAACAGUAUAUAUUUUGCCUAAGAGGAAUCUAAUAUUCUAAAAGAACCGCCUCCAUGAAUCCCGUGAACUGGCUGACCUCUCCUUUUCGGCUAAGACGAUCGUACCAGUAACCAUCAGUUUUCAGCAACCCGUUCAGACUAGAAGCCAAAAAAUGGGAAUUAGAACGAAUAUUGCAUAUGUCUUCGGAGGGUCGCAUACCUAACUUUACUUAUAAAUGGCUUAUAAAGAAACCUUCCCAACCUAAACGCUGAGACUUGACUGAUCGUGAAAGCCCAGUCAGAUGGCAGUAUGGUAUCUCUCAGCGAUCGCUUCCAACCGGGCACGACACUACGUUAGUAACGUCUAAUUCAAGUUAGUAGCUUGGGAAUUUGACAACUGUGCAUAGAAGAGGUACCUAUGGAUUGCGAGAUUCGUGGAAUACAUUUCACGACCUUAGCACGCGAAUUCAAAAGAAGCUUGGCUGAUUCCAACGUCAUAAGUCUUCGUUUAAUCGAAAUAACCGAUACUCCA